This 460-nucleotide ribosomal RNA is filed under the name uncultured bacterium. Its description in RNAcentral is "partial 16S ribosomal RNA". It matches the Rfam family "Bacterial small subunit ribosomal RNA", at positions 338 to 795 of the family's 1533-position model. The record is from RNAcentral.
CCUACGUGAGGCAGCAGUGAGGAAUAUUGGUCAAUGGGCGCGAGCCUGAACCAGCCAAGUAGCGUGAAGGAUGACUGCCCUACGGGUUGUAAACUUCUUUUAUAAAGGAAUAAAGUGAGGCACGUGUGCCUUUUUGUAUGUACUUUAUGAAUAAGGAUCGGCUAACUCCGUGCCAGCAGCCGCGGUAAUACGGAGGAUCCGAGCGUUAUCCGGAUUUAUUGGGUUUAAAGGGAGCGUAGAUGGGUUGUUAAGUCAGUUGUGAAAGUGUGCGGCUCAACCGUAAAAUUGCAAUUGAUACUGGCAGUCUUGAGUACAGUUGAGGUAGGCGGAAUUCGUGGUGUAGCGGUGAAAUGCUUAGAUAUCACGAAGAACUCCGAUUGCGAAGGCAGCUUACUAAACUGCCACUGACAUUGAUGCUCGAAAGUGUGGGUAUCAAACAGGAUUAGAGACCCGAGUAGUC